UUUUAAGUCCAUGACACGUGUCAAUACAUUAUUGGACAUAAAUUUUCGAGGUGUUACAUGUGGCAACAUAUGGUGGAGGUGUUUUGUGAGUUUGAGAGGGAAUCCAUUUCUAAAUACACACAAUGUUCAAUCCACGCGGGAUCCAUUUGUUAUUUUGGUCGGACCUAUGAAUUUGGAUCUACUAUAAAUUCAUUUUUUUAUUCAGCUUUACACCCUUCAUAUCAUAAACACAAUUAGGGUUUCUUUUUGAAUCUCUAUGCGCUCCUCCAUCAAUGUGUGAACCCGAUUGUAGAACAUACUCCUUCUCCAUGAUACAUCGGAAACAUUAAUUCUUCAAGCUUAGCCUGUUCGUGUGUAAAGAUCAAGGAAGAUGGUGACGGUGGUGCUGGUGGCCUGAAGAGAAACGAUAACGGCGUUAGGGUUCUUUCAGGGGUGGCACAAAAUAUGAUUGUUCGGAAUCCCAACAUAAAGGGGUUGAAGAUGGAUUUUGACAAUCAUACGGUAAUCAAAAAAUCAUGAGUCGGGGGGUGGGACUGCACCUAGAAAAGCGGUGUUGACUUCUAUCACACAGGUGUUAACUGCUAUUUCACAUAUGAAGAAGGCAAAGCCCAGGCAACCUUACAAGAAUAAGAAUUAAUUGCCUCUUUAUUUGCGUCAUGUGAAAACCAGAUCCAUUCGUAGGUGUUUGGCCAAACAUUAGGUAUCUUUAAAGUCUUUUUUGUGUAUGAUCUUGAAUAAGAAUUUCAUUAUGACGAACAUGAAUCUCCACUCCUGGUGUAGUCUUAAAAAUCCCCUUUAUUGCUACAAAAGAAUGUUUUUUGAUAUCUUUGUUUAUUAUUAAAUUGUGUUGAUCAAGUAAUAAAGUAGGAUACAAGUGAAUAAAUGAUUUAUGAUAAUUAUGAUAAUUAAGUUAACUGGUGUAUCCCCAAAUUGCUUGUGAAUUGUGAGUCUGUUUCGUUACCAGAUUUGUUCAAGUUAUGUGUUUAUUACUUCUGGAUUAUCACUUCGAUUAGAUUUAAAUCUUCAAGAUUGUGUUGUGGAACUGUAUGGACUUUUGGUUUUCUGGAGUACAUUUUAUUUUGUUCCUAAUUCGGUUUUUAGAACUGUAGGUGAAAGACUAUUGCAGGCAUCAGGGUUUCAGGAAGGGCCCUUUAUCCGGUUAGGGUUCUGGGAACUCCGUAUGAAACUAUUGAAUAUGCUAAUUUGGUUCGAGUUCCCCAAACUCCCAAAGGUUCAUGUUUCUAUUUAAGGAGCAGAAACUCACGGUACCACAUUGUCGUACUCCACGACCUUUACCUCAUGGCUCAGAAGGUGGACCUGGUGGACGAAAAUGUACUCUGGUGGAUGAUGGGUCUGGAAAAUGUACUCUUUUCAUCACUGGUUAUCUUCGGGCAGUUUUAAUAACUGGUUCGGUGCCAACCCUACGUUAAUCUGUGAAUCAGCUGGUGUUUGGGAAUUUCAGCUGGCAAAGAUUCAGCUUCUUGAGGAUCCAUAUUCAUUAAAUGCUAAAAAAGAAGGGGAUUUCAGGGAUGCUGAUGAAGUAAAUGAUAUACAGGUAUGUAUUCUUUUCUUUAAAAUGGAUGCUUAAUAAAUCUUCCUCUGUGCUUUUUAUUCUCUUCGUGUAUACAGACUCUUU
Helianthus annuus (common sunflower) is the source of this 1636-nucleotide long non-coding RNA. RefSeq lists it as uncharacterized. The transcript has 6 exons. The record is from RefSeq and is a predicted model, not a curated record. Lineage: Eukaryota; Viridiplantae; Streptophyta; Magnoliopsida; Asterales; Asteraceae.